Molecule: ribosomal RNA, 492 nt
Filed under: uncultured bacterium
Lineage: Bacteria
Description: partial 16S ribosomal RNA
Rfam family: Bacterial small subunit ribosomal RNA
Source: RNAcentral
AGUGAACGCUGGCGGUAGGCCUAACACAUGCAAGUCGAACGGCAGCACAGUAAGAGCUUGCUCUUACGGGUGGCGAGUGGCGGAUGGGUGAGGAAUACAUCGGAAUCUACUUUUUCGUGGGGGAUAACGUAGGGAAACUUACGCUAAUACCGCAUACGACCUACGGGUGAAGGCAGGGGAUCUUCGGACCUUGCGCGAUUGAAUGAGCCGAUGUCGGAUUAGCUAGUUGGCGGGGUAAAGGCCCACCAAGGCGACGAUCCGUAGCUGGUCUGAGAGGAUGAUCAGCCACACUGGAACUGAGACACGGUCCAGACUCCUACGGGAGGCAGCAGUGGGGAAUAUUGGACAAUGGGCGCAAGCCUGAUCCAGCCAUGCCGCGUGGGUGAAGAAGGCCUUCGGGUUGUAAAGCCCUUUUGUUGGGAAAGAAAAGCAGCAGGUUAAUACCCCGCUGUUCUGACGGUACCCAAAGAAUAAGCACCGGCUAACUUCGUG